Molecule: non-coding RNA, 73 nt
Organism: Schistocephalus solidus
Lineage: Eukaryota; Metazoa; Platyhelminthes; Cestoda; Diphyllobothriidea; Diphyllobothriidae
Source: Rfam
GCCCGGAUAGCUCAUUCGGUAUAGCAUCAGACUUUUAAUCUGAGGGUCCAGGGUUCGAGUCCCUGUUCGGGCG